AGGGUUCGAUUAUGGCUCAGGAUGAACGCUGGCGGCAUGCUUUACACAUGCAAGUUGAACGAAUUAAAGUUUUCGAAUUUUAGUUAAGUAGCGAACGGGUGAGUAAAACGUAAGAAUCUAUUUUUAGGUGAGGAAUAACUAAUGGAAACGUUAGCUAAUACCUUAUAAACUGAGAAGUGAAAAACUAAAAAUUGCCUAAAAGUGAGCUUGCGCCUGAUUAGCUUGUUGGUAAGAUAAUUCGGCUUACCCAAAGCGAGCGAAUCAGUAGUUGAUCUAAGAGGAUAAUCAACCACACUGGGACUGAGAUACGGCCCAGACCUCUACGGAAGGCAGCAGUGAGGAAUUUCCCGCAAUGGGCGAAAGCCUGAACGGAGCAAUGCCGCGUGAAGGAUGAAGGCCUAUGGGUCGUAAACUUCUUUUCCUAAUGAAGAAAUAAGACGGUAAUUAAGGAAUAAGCAUUGGCUAACUCCGUGCCAGCAGCCGCGGUAAUACGGAGGAUGCAAGCGUUAUCCGGAAUUAUUGGGCGUAAAGGGUUUGUAGGCUACUUUUUAAGUCUACUGUUAAAGAAUAAGACUUAACCUUAGAAAAGCAGUAUGAAACUAAAAGGAUAGAGUUCAGUAGGGGUAGAGGGAAUUCUCGGUGUAGUAGUGAAAUGCGUAGAUAUCGAGAGGAACACCAAUAGCGAAAGCACUCUACUAGGCUGUAACUGACGCUAAGAAACGAAAGCUAGGGGAGCCAAUGGGAUUAGAUACCCCAGUAGUCCUAGCUGUAAACGAUGGAUACUAAGUAUUGGAUAAUAAAAAAUUCAGUGCUGUAGCUAACGCGUUAAGUAUCCCGCCUGGGGAGUAUGCCCGCAAGGGUGAAACUCAAAGGAAUUGACGGGGGCCCGCACAAGCGGUGGAGCAUGUGGUUUAAUUCGAUGCAACGCGAAAAACCUUACCAGGAUUUGACAUCCCAUAUUUUUUUUUCUAGAAAUAGAAAAAUUGACGUGGAGACAGGUGGUGGCAUGGCUGUCGUCAGCUCGUGUUCGUGAGAUGUUGGGUUAAGUCCCGUAACGAGCGCAACCCUUGUCUUUAGUCCGAUAGUCUAAAGAAACUGCCGAUAAUAAAUUCGGAGGAAGGUGAGGGAUGGACGUCAAGUCAGCAUGCCCCUUAUAUUUCUGGGCGACACCACGUGGCUACAAUGGUUAAGACAAUGGGAUGCAAACUUGUAAAAGGGAGCCUAACCUCAAAAACUUAUUAUCGAAGUCCGAAAUAGUGUUCAACUGAAACUCGUCGACAUGAAGCUGGAAUCGCUAGUAAUCGCCGGUCAGCCACACGGCGGUGGAUACGUUCUCGGGCCUUGUACACACCGCCCGUCACGUUAGGGAAGCUGAUUACGCCCGAAGUCAUUAAUUUAACCUUUUGGAGAAAAAUGCCGAAGGCAGAGUGAGUAACUAGAACGAAGUCGUAACAAGGUAACC
This 1462-nucleotide ribosomal RNA is filed under the name uncultured cyanobacterium. RNAcentral's name for it is "partial 16S ribosomal RNA". It matches the Rfam family "Bacterial small subunit ribosomal RNA". The record is from RNAcentral. Lineage: Bacteria; Bacillati; Cyanobacteriota.